GCCGGGCACGGUGGCUCAUGCCUGUAAUCCUAGCACUUUGGGAGGCUGAGGCAGGUGGAUCACUUGAGGUCAGGAGUUCGAGACCAGCCUGGCCAACAUGGUGAAACCCUGUCUCUA
This is a non-coding RNA of Homo sapiens (human), 117 nucleotides long. It matches the Rfam family "Metazoan signal recognition particle RNA". From Rfam's summary of the family: The signal recognition particle (SRP) is a universally conserved ribonucleoprotein. It is involved in the co-translational targeting of proteins to membranes. Lineage: Eukaryota; Metazoa; Chordata; Mammalia; Primates; Hominidae. The record is from Rfam.